CCUACGGGGGGCUGCAGUGAGGAAUCUUCGUCAAUGGGCGCAAGCCUGAACGAGCAACGCCGCGUGUGGGAAGACGGCCUUCGGGUUGUAAACCACUUUUUUCUGGAACGAGAACGGACGGUACCAGAAGAAGAAGUCUCGGCUAACUACGUGCCAGCAGCCGCGGUAAUACGUAGGAGACGAGCGUUGUCCGGAGUUACUGGGCGUAAAGGGUGCGCAGGCGGUUGGUUUUGUGGGUGGUGAAAUCUCCUGGCUUAACUGGGAGGGUGCCAUCCAAACGGGCUAACUUGAGGCGUGGAGAGGGACGUGGAAUUCCGGGUGGAGCGGUGAAAUGCGUAGAGAUCCGGAGGAACACCGACGGCGAAGGCAGCGUCCUGGCCACGACCUGACGCUCAGGCACGAAAGCUGGGGGAGCAAACAGGAUUAGAUACCCCUGUAGUC
RNAcentral lists this ribosomal RNA (441 nucleotides) under uncultured bacterium. RNAcentral's name for it is "bacterial SSU rRNA". It matches the Rfam family "Bacterial small subunit ribosomal RNA", at positions 338 to 795 of the family's 1533-position model. The record is from RNAcentral.